RNAcentral lists this long non-coding RNA (2344 nucleotides) under Mytilus galloprovincialis (Mediterranean mussel). Lineage: Eukaryota; Metazoa; Mollusca; Bivalvia; Mytilida; Mytilidae. The record is from RNAcentral.
ACUUUAUACUAAAAUUUAUCUUUCUACCAGUAGGUCUUCUAUUACACAUUGUGGUAAGUUUUCCAAUAUUUUUUUACAAACAGUAUUCUUGUUAUCUGAAUAUGUUCAAUACAAUUAAAAGGGUAAUACAGUGAAUAAUGGAUAAACCGAACCAUGUAUAAAUCGAAAACCUGUACAAACCAAACUUGUUUUUAACACCAACUGUGUGUGUUUCUGAAUCGAUAAAACAGAACAUCGGCCAAAACCGAACGAAUUCUUAAGUUCAGAAGAAGUUCGGGUUAAACAGGCUUUACUGUAACAGAGUAUUCCAUCAUAUCAAAAUUAUAAAUUUAAGCUCAGUCAAAUAUGCAAGUAAAUUUAAUUAAAAGAUAAAAAUCUUACUUUACUUAAACAAUUAACCAAAAGUUGCUUAUUCGUUAAAUUCUAUGUAAUCUUUUUACCUGACAUUAGUCUAUUGUUUUUUUCAUUGUCUGGUUAUGAUAGACUGAUGUCUUUUGUCGAAUAAUACCCUUUUUAUACUCUAUAUUUAAUAAUAAGAUACAGUACACUACUUUUAUUCAAAUCAAACAAACAGCAAACUUAAUUAAUAGGCAGAAAUUAUUUAAGAGUUUGACAAGACACACAGACAUUCGAACACCGAACAGACUAAAAUACAAACCUUGCUAGCGAUGAAAAAUCAUUGUAAAGUCAUAAGUCAUAUUUAAGUGUACUGAAAUUUGAAAUCAGCUACGUUAGCCAUAUUACAUAAUUUUUUAUAGCCUAGUAACAAAUAUAUAUUCUGAAUUAGUUAGUCCAUUGUCAAGCACUAUUCGGGUUCUGUUACAUUUCCGUUAUAGAAUAACUUCUCUGAAAUAUUGUAUGUUGAUAUUCUACAACACAUACUUUUCUUAAUAUAUACGCUAUCAAAACAAGUAAUUAAGUUUUAUCUUACAAUACGUCAUACCAAAUUUGUAAAUGUUCGGAUGUUUUCCUACCCCUAAACUAAACUGAACAUAGAAUGUUGAUUUUCAAACACGUUUUUGCUAAAAAAAAGACUGUAAUCCUCAUAAACAACAAUGACACUUAUAAUUGAAAAUCACAAAGAACAAAAUUUAAAACCAAAAAAAUCGAUACGAAUCCCUAACAAAAAUAAUUUUAAAAAAACAUUUGACAGUCCGAUUUCCCACUUCCGAUUUUAACAAAUAAAAAGUGAACUACAGUGGUAUUGGUAGUUAAUGCUCGUUAUCAAUAUAUUUCUAAAGCAAAACUAAACACCACUGCAAUGCUUACACGUCAAUGUCAUUUCAUACACCAUCCAAACCCUUCUGUUGGUAACUUGGGACUUUUGUUUUUAAACUGUUACAUGUUUUAAGGAACUUGAAAUUAGCCAUCAAACUAUAACAUUUAGUGCGCACAGGCUCACUGCUCUUACUUCUGAAUUCGGUAGACGAAAUGCGCGUUUAAAAUUUCAAUCCUCUUUAGAUAAUGAGUUUAUUUCUAAAUAACCUGGAAUAUAAACUGAUAAAGACGAGUUUUAUUUCAGUAUUAUAAUGAAGUGCUGUUGUUUGGUUGUUUUCAUAUUUUGCACAAUCGAUGUGUCAAAUGGCGGCAGUAAGUAUCCUUUAUGUUUAAACCGCAGUAGUGAAGAUUAAACAUUCAGCUGCUAGACUCUCUCAUAAUAUAAAAGGUACGAUCCUUUCACUCUGAUCAAACGUUCAGCAUUCGAGAGCCAAACGAGACAGACAGAGUAAGAACCUAUUCAUGUUACAGAUUUUCAAUCAUGUUAACACAGUUAUCUACCAUUUGUGUUUAUAGUAAUUUGGGGAUAAACACCUUCAAUUUAUAACGAUAAUUUCAGUUCAUUUGUCGAGCUGCAAAGCUGUACAAAACUGUUCAACACUACUUUCAUGGGUUGACAUAAGAAUAAAAAAAAAACUGCAUUAAGGAAGAACUGAUUUUAAAACGUCUAAGCAGAUUUACGAGCAUCUCGAUCAAAUUCAGUAAAAUUUAUCUAUGAGAAAUCAUACCGCAGCAUCAAUAUAUAUAUUUAUAUAUAUACAUGUUUUUUUCUAAAAGUUCACAAAAUUCUUCUUUGUGUCCUAUAUUCAACAUGGUUAAGCAAAUGAAUUUGAGAAACAGACAAUGUCUUAUAUCUAUAGUCAUAUUGUGUAAUGUUCAUGUAUAUAUAUAUAUCAAAGUAUAAUCAUGCUAUACUGUAUUGGAGUACUGUACUAUUCAGUUCUUUCCGGGAUAUGCCUCGCCUCCAAUGGUACCUGUGGAAAGAAAGGUGUUCCAUGUAAAGAAACAUUCGGCUCUGAAUGGACGUAUACCGGAAAAUGCUGCAAUGAACGACCAUGCUGCAAAU